Molecule: ribosomal RNA, 451 nt
Filed under: uncultured bacterium
Lineage: Bacteria
Description: bacterial SSU rRNA
Rfam family: Bacterial small subunit ribosomal RNA
Source: RNAcentral
GUGAGGAAUAUUGCGCAAUGGCCGAAAGGCUGACGCAGCAACGCCGCGUGAGGGAUGAAGUUCCUAGGAAUGUAAACCUCUGUUAGAGGGGACGAACAGGCGAUUGUCGAACAGGCAGUCGUUUUGACGGUACCUUCAGAGAAAGCCCCGGCUAACUCCGUGCCAGCAGCCGCGGUAACACGGGGGGGGCAAGCGUUGUCCGGAAUUAUUGGGCGUAAAGGGCGCGUAGGUGGGAUGAUUAGUCCGAGGUGCAAACUUAUGGCUUAACUGUGAGCUUGCCUUGGAAACUGUCAUUCUUGAGUUCGGGAGAGGGAAAUGGAAUUCCUGGUGUAGCGGUGAAAUGCGUAGAUAUCAGGAAGAACACCGGUGGCGAAGGCGGUUUCCUGGCCCGAUACUGACACUGAGGCGCGAAAGUGCGGGGAGCAAACAGGAUUAGAAACCCCAGUAGUCC